Molecule: long non-coding RNA, 1657 nt
Organism: Suricata suricatta (meerkat)
Lineage: Eukaryota; Metazoa; Chordata; Mammalia; Carnivora; Herpestidae
Source: Ensembl
UCUGAUUUCACAGGCAGAGAAGGUCUUCCUCAGAGGAGAGAUCCUUGGCCCAGAGCAACAGGCCCACUAGCCUGGUGGAGAAGACUGAAGGCAAGGUGGAUCGAAAAAGCCAUGGGCAAGGACCGUAGAUGCUGGGCGAAGAGGCUUCAUGUGGCCAAGGAUUUUCCUGCCAUUAAAUCUGGAGAAAGAAAAAUAAGCACUCAAACCUGCACAAGCAAGUAUUCCUCCUCUACUCCUGCUCACCACCCCACCCCAUCCCCUUUCCUUCUCUGUCGGACCAUUUGUAGCCUCUGUGGCUGCCGGACUCGGGAGAUGGAUAGGCUGGGGCAGGCGAAGGGCACCUUGGAGGAGGAGCAGGACCAGGCAGACCCUCAGGACAGUAAGCGACAUUUGGGGACUAUUCACAGAAUGCUUUUCCGCAGCUGUUUCCUCUCUGGCCAUUUGCUUGCUGGGUUGUCAGUCCGUCUGCAUUGCUGUCACGGUUUUAGUCCGACCAAGGGUUUCCAAACAUAUCCGAGCUGUCAGUGUGGGGGGAGCUUCUGAUUGGCUGUUGUUACUGGUUUCUCUUAACCCAAUACCAACAUGAAUGAGGAGAAAUGAGUAUGAGGAAGAAGAGGGCAAUGGCAGGGCAUUCAGGAGAAAGUGGGGAGUUAUGGGGAGGGCCCUGUGUGUCCUGGUUCUCAAGAGUCCAGUCAUGGGCACUUGGUGACCUGUGCUGUCUCCCCUCAGGGAGGGAUUCCACGGCUGGAUGGUUCUAAGCCACCAGGGGCGUGAAAGGCCACGGGAUGCUGCUGCUGCUGCUGCAUGGUGAGUUCCAAGGCUUGCUCCUUCUUGACCCCCCAGCAGACAGCUGUCAGUGGGUGCAGGGGUUGGAAAGCCCAUAGAAGAUUCUAGAAGAUGCAUGGAACCCACAGGGCUUCUACCCAAGGAACUUGGUCUUCAAGUGGCUUCCAUGAGAGCUGUACAUGGACACCAGUUCUGAUUACGUUUCACUGAACUGUUAUCGGGGGGGAGGGAUUGGAGAAGGAGAUAAAACAGAGCAGGCAAUGGGUUUUGUUUGUUUAAAUAUAAGAUUCCUGGGGCACUUGGGUGGCUCAGUAGGUUGAGUGUAAGACUCUUAUUUCGGCUCAGGUCAUGAUCUCAUAGUUUGCGGGAUCGAGCCCCACAUCAGGUUCUGUGCUGACAGCAUAGAGUCUGCUUGGGAUUCUCUCUCUCUCUCCCUUUUUCUGCCACUCACUCACUCUCUCUCUCUCUCUCUCUGUCUCUCAAGAUCAAUAAACAUUAAAAAAACCCCACAAAAUUCCUGAGCCAUAUAUAAUGUAAACUUUUGGUGGUUUUCAAUUUCACAUAUGAAUUCAUUGGUGUAAUCACCAAAAACUCCAUUAGUUUUCUAAUCAUGUUGUUUGAAGCUCAUUCAGUUAAGAAAAAAAAUCUCUUAAACCAUCUUCUUAAAGGAAGAAGAAAAAAUGAAAAUAGGGGUGCCUGGGUGGCUCAGUUGGUUGAGCAUCUGACUUUGGGUCAGGUCAUAAUCUCAUGGUUCGUGGUUUCAAGCCCUGCAUCUGGCUCUGUGCUGACACUGUGGAGCCUGCUUGGGAUUCUGUUUCUCCCUUUCUUUCUGCCCCUCCCCCACUUGUGCUCUGUCUCUCUUUUUCUGUCU